AACUGGUUCUCAUAUGAUCAUCAAAGUUAAGCAACAUCGAGCCUAGUCAGUACCUAGAGAGGUAACCACUUGGGAAUACCAGGUGCUGUAAG
Non-coding RNA from Acanthosepion pharaonis, 92 nucleotides. Lineage: Eukaryota; Metazoa; Mollusca; Cephalopoda; Sepiida; Sepiidae. The record is from the annotation of a GenBank genome assembly.